Molecule: ribosomal RNA, 123 nt
Filed under: Actinomycetota bacterium
Lineage: Bacteria; Bacillati; Actinomycetota
Description: Actinobacteria bacterium partial 16S ribosomal RNA
Rfam family: Bacterial small subunit ribosomal RNA
Source: RNAcentral
UUCUAUGGAGAGUUUGAUCCUGGCUCAGGACGAACGCUGGCGGCGUGCUUAACACAUGCAAGUCGAGCGAUGAAGCACCUUCGGGUGUGAAUUAGCGGCGAACGGGUGAGGAACACGUGAAGA